AGCAGCCGCGGUAAUUCCAGCUCCAAUAGCGUAUAUUAAAGUUGUUGCAGUUAAAAAGCUCGUAGUUGAAUUUCGGGGUCUGUCCAUUGGUCGGGCUUCACGGUCCGUACUGGUGUGAUGGGUUCCUACCUUCUGAAUAACCAGCAUGCCAUUUAGUUGGUGCGCCGGGGAAGCAGAGCUAUUACCUUGAAAAAAUUAGAGUGCUUAAAGCAGGCUAGUGCUUGAAUAGAUUAGCAUGGAAUAAUAAAAUAGGACGGCAUGGUUCUAUUUUGUUGGUUUCUAGGAUCACCGUAAUGAUUAAUAGGGAUAGUUGGGGGCAUUAGUAUUCAAUUGUCAGAGGUGAAAUUCUUGGAUUUAUUGAAGACUAACUUCUGCGAAAGCAUUUGCCAAGGAUGUUUUCAUUAAUCAAAGAACGAAAGUUAGGGGAUCGAAGACGAUCAGAUACCGUCGUAGUCUUAACCAUAAACUAUGCCGACUAGGGAUCGGACGAUGUUAAUUUUUAAUGACUCGUUCGGCGCCU
Molecule: ribosomal RNA, 520 nt
Filed under: uncultured Glomeromycotina
Lineage: Eukaryota; Fungi; Glomeromycota
Description: SSU rRNA
Rfam family: Eukaryotic small subunit ribosomal RNA
Source: RNAcentral